This 490-nucleotide ribosomal RNA is filed under the name uncultured bacterium. Its description in RNAcentral is "bacterial SSU rRNA". It matches the Rfam family "Bacterial small subunit ribosomal RNA", at positions 8 to 518 of the family's 1533-position model. The record is from RNAcentral.
AGAGUUUGAUCCUGGCUUAGGACGAACGCUGGCGGCAUGCCUAACACAUGCAAGUCGAACGGGGGUAGCAAUACCCUAGUGGCGAACGGGUGAGUAACACAUAAGCAAUCUGCCCUUCACAGGGGGAUAACAGCGGGAAACUGCUGCUAAUACCGCAUAAGACCACAGUACCGCAUGGUACAGGGGUAAAAACGAAUCAGUGGUGAAGGAUGAGCUUAUGUCCCAUUAGCUAGUUGGUGAGAUAACAGCCCACCAAGGCGACGAUGGGUAGCCGACCUGAGAGGGUGAUCGGCCACACUGGAACUGAGACACGGUCCAGACUCCUACGGGAGGCAGCAGUGGGGAAUAUUGGGCAAUGGAGGAAACUUCCUUACCCAGCAAUGCCGCGUGAGUGAAGAAGGUCUUCGGAUUGUAAAGCUCUUUGAUUGGGGACGAAGAAAGUGACGGUACCCAAAGAACAAGCCCCGGCUAACUACGUGCCAGCAGCUGC